UACGGGGGGGAGCAAGCGUUGUCCGGAAUUAUUGGGCGUAAAGAGCUCGUAGGCGGUCUGUCGCGUCUGCUGUGAAAACUCGGGGCUCAGCCCCGAGCCUGCAGUCGAUACGGGCAGACUAGAGUGCUGUAGGGGAGACUGGAAUUCCUGGUGUAGCGGUGAAAUGCGCAGAUAUCAGGAGGAACACCGGUGGCGAAGGCGGGUCUCUGGGCAGUAACUGACGCUGAGGAGCGAAAGCGUGGGGAGCGAACAGG
RNAcentral lists this ribosomal RNA (254 nucleotides) under uncultured bacterium. RNAcentral's name for it is "partial 16S ribosomal RNA". It matches the Rfam family "Bacterial small subunit ribosomal RNA", at positions 524 to 776 of the family's 1533-position model. The record is from RNAcentral.